This is a long non-coding RNA of Mirounga angustirostris (Northern elephant seal), 3084 nucleotides long. RefSeq lists it as uncharacterized. The record is from RefSeq and is a predicted model, not a curated record. The transcript is spliced from 6 exons. NCBI's taxonomy places the organism in Eukaryota, Metazoa, Chordata, Mammalia, Carnivora, Phocidae.
AGUGUGAGUCAGGGGUUAAGUACAAACUACUCUGGGUGGUCAUGGCAGGGAAAUCCCUAUCCUUUGAGGGUGCUUUCACUUUCGUUUGUCCGAGAUAGGAGAUAAGCUGGAAAGAAGAGCUUAAGGAAAAAUGCGGGACAAAGAGGGGUGCCACACCAUUGCAGAGUAACAGGAACUGGAUUUGCCCUCCUGCCUGAAACAACAAAACAACAAAACCAGACAAAAUACCUGAAACACAGAUUUUCAAGGUAUUAGACAUCAGGCAAAGAGGACAGUGAUCCCUGAGGGAUGGAAAACAAACAGAUCGUUAUCCUGGCCACCUUAUUGCAACCGAGGGCUCAACAGACUCACCAACAUCACCAGCAGCACCAAGCCCCACCCGUCCACCCCACCUUUGCUAUCUGCACCAUCUACUCACUGGGAAACCUUCCAGUCAGUGGAGAAACCAAACAUUAAGGAAGCUGCUGAAGCAGUGGAAACCUCCACGUCAAUAUCUGCAAGAAAAACAAAGAUCUCAAACCACACCCUCUGUUAGACAUUGACUUGGAAGAUAAAGAUCAGCCUGAACUACUAACUGGCUCUUCUAUAACCCAGCAUAAAAGACAACCAGCCCUUUCACUCCUGACGUGAAUUCUGCUCUGCUCAUAAACAUUUCAUAGCAGAAGGAUUCGUGAUGUACUUGACAGAAACUGUGCAGCACAACCAGCAUCCCUAAGGAGAUGGAAGCCAAGAAGGAGAUGUCUUGGGUCCUCCACCUGUCACCUGCCUGAGAACUAGAGUAUGGGGUGGGGUUUGGCCCUCCUUUCUCCGAUCUACCAUCAGUCGUGACAUCAUUUUCAGCCGUGCCCUGUAUCUAACUCUUCACCCGUGUCAACUGGGUUGACUACGGUGGUUGGGAGUCUACAGGGAGCCCAGGAUGCCAGGCAAGGCUGAGUGGAGGUGUGAAUCAGCGCUCUCUUCCUGCCGUAUUCCUCCCACCCCCCCCAGGCAUUGUGUGACUGACUUUCAAGGGUCUCUGCACUUAAACAUAUUGCUACCUGCCAGAAAUUUCAACAUGUGCAAGAUCUUGCUGGAAGCACGGAAGCACAGCCCGGUGUGUGUGUGGCUGUCAUAAGGAAACUCCUAUAAGAGAAUCCACCUGUGCCAGGGCAUCUGAGAAAGGGGAGGAGGUGGCUAGAGAUCGCGCCACCACCGCCCAUCCCAUUAAAUAAGAUGAGUGGUUCAGAGCCGGACGGGCAUUUGUGAAUCCCAUUCUUCUAUUGGCUACAGGAAGCUUGAUUUGCGUGUGGAUCAAAGAAAAGCUACUUAUCGCUACUGGAAAUUUCCUUCUAAUUCACUGGCAUUGUUCCACAGGGUGAGGGGAAGCAAAGGCUAGAUUCACUCACAGAGGGGAGCCUCAAAGCCAAAACAUCAAGGGAACAGCUCAAAACGUCAAAAAACAGCCUGACCUAAGUUCUCCCACAUUUCAUCUUUUCAAAAAUCACAAGAAAAAGAUGAGCGAUCCAAAAAGAGCAAAUUCACUUUAAUUUCCGCUUAAAUACCUCAAAGCAAAAAGUCCAAGGGUUCAGACUCUUCUCCCACCUGACAGACAAGGCCCUUGUUAUUCUCCCCUCUCCCUUUCCCGCCUUGUGCUGAAAGUCUACUUUCCAAGCCGGUGGGGGCCACCGCGAAUCGAGCUGGCGGUUGCCAGAGCAUGCGUAUUGCUUCAGAAUAAAAGAAGUCGAACAUUUACAUCUGAACGUCUCAUUGAUUUACCACAUCGCCACACGGGUCUACAAACAAAGAAAGACUGGCUUUGAAACACAUACCAUUGCAAAAACAGUUUGGCAGGUUCUUAAAAAAUGACACGUAUACUCACCAUAUGUCCCAGCCAUUCCACUGCUAGGUAUUUACCCGGGAAAAAAGGAAACACAUGUCCAUACAGAAACGUUCACAUGAAUGUGAGAUAGCAGUUUUAUUUGCAUUAGCUAAAACCUGAAAGCAAUCCAAAUGCCAAUCAAUAACGAACAAAUAUGGCACAAACAAAAUAACCAAACAAAUUGUGGCAUAGUCAACAUAGUGGAAUACUACUUAGCCGUGAAAAAGGAGAGAUUGUGGUACAAACCACAAUGAGCAUAAAUCAAAAUAACUAUGCUGAGUGAAAGAAGCUAGACAAAAUUUAUAUAAAACUUAUUUAUAUAAGUUUUUAAAUAUAUUUACGUAAGUUCUUAUAAAUAAGAAUUUAUAUAAAACUCUAACAAAUGCAAACGAAUCUGUGGUGGCUUACAGGAGAUCAGUGUUCGCCUUGGGGGAAAGGGUGCAGGGAAUGAGGGGAUGGAAAGGGGACUUGAAGAAAUUCUGUGUUCACUGUCUUGAAUGUGAUGAUGGGUUUACCGUACAUGUUGAGACUUGUCCAUUGUACAUGUUAAAUGUAUUUUUAUUAUAUCAAUUACGCCUCAAUAAAGCUGUUUCUUUUAAAAAAAGAACCAUGAUGUGUACCUAACAGGGAUGACUUAUAUACUCCUGCCUUAAACAACUAGAAAACCAGAAAACUAUAUGAAACAAUAAUUUCCAACACUGGACAACAGUCAAGGCAGGACUAUGAUCUCUGAGAGAAGGGAACAAACAGGUGAAUCCUACAAUGGUACCAGAUCACUGCCUAGAGAAAACCCAAAUGAGACCUGGUGGUCUCAAAGAGUGAGGAGACAGGAGUUCUGAGUUCUGCAAGGUCAAGGCAGCUCAACUUUGCAGGGCAGAGUACCAGAGCGGAGCAGCUCUACAAAUAGAGACAACUCUAGAGACUGUCAGAUAAAAACCUCAAGUCUUUAAUUUCUGAUCGGUGGCUGCACAUGAAGAAAUUCCUCCAGGUGGGGGAAAGAACCCCGUGAAAGUCUCAGACAGGACAAUUCUUGGAGUGCUUACAGGGCUAGAAAGGACUGGUAUUCUCACUAGCUGAAGUAGAGACUUUGUAGUACAUGGGUAGCAUCCUCAGAAGAGUAUUAUCUUGAGGUGCCUGGGUGUCUCAGUCUGCCUUCGGCUCAGGUCAUGAUCCCAGGGUCCUGGGAUGGAGCCCUGCAUCGGGCUCCCUGCUCCGCGGCGAACCUG